UGGGGAAUUUUGGACAAUGGGCGAAAGCCUGAUCCAGCAAUGCCGCGUGUGUGAAGAAGGCCUUCGGGUUGUAAAGCACUUUUGUCCGGAAAGAAAUCCUUGGCUCUAAUACAGUCGGGGGAUGACGGUACCGGAAGAAUAAGCACCGGCUAACUACGUGCCAGCAGCCGCGGUAAUACGUAGGGUGCAAGCGUUAAUCGGAAUUACUGGGCGUAAAGCGUGCGCAGGCGGUUUGCUAAGACCGAUGUGAAAUCCCCGGGCUCAACCUGGGAACUGCAUUGGUGACUGGCAGGCUAGAGUAUGGCAGAGGGGGGUAGAAUUCCACGUGUAGCAGUGAAAUGCGUAGAGAUGUGGAGGAAUACCGAUGGCGAAGGCAGCCCCCUGGGCAAAUACUGACGCUCAUGCACGAAAGCGUGGGGGAGCAAACAGGAUUAGAUACCCUGGUAGUCCACGCCCUAAACGAUGUCACUAGUUGUUGGGGAUUCAUUUCCUUAGUAACGUAGCUAACGCGUGAAGUUGACCGCCUGGGGAGUACGGUCGCAAGGUUAAAA
This 551-nucleotide ribosomal RNA is filed under the name uncultured bacterium. Its description in RNAcentral is "partial 16S ribosomal RNA". It matches the Rfam family "Bacterial small subunit ribosomal RNA", at positions 355 to 899 of the family's 1533-position model. The record is from RNAcentral.